AAAACUUUCAACAACGGAUCUCUUGGCUCUAGCAUCGAUGAAGAACGCAGCGAAUGCGAUACGUAAUGUGAAUUGCAGAAUUCAGUGAAUCAUCGAAUCUUUGAACGCACAUUGCGCCUGGCAGUAUUCUGCCAGGCAUGCCUGUCCGAGCGUCAUUU
Molecule: ribosomal RNA, 158 nt
Filed under: Endoconidiophora polonica
Lineage: Eukaryota; Fungi; Ascomycota; Sordariomycetes; Microascales; Ceratocystidaceae
Description: 5.8S ribosomal RNA
Rfam family: 5.8S ribosomal RNA
About the family: 5.8S ribosomal RNA (5.8S rRNA) is a component of the large subunit of the eukaryotic ribosome. It is transcribed by RNA polymerase I as part of the 45S precursor that also contains 18S and 28S rRNA. Functionally, it is thought that 5.8S rRNA may be involved in ribosome translocation.
Source: RNAcentral